This is a non-coding RNA of Schizosaccharomyces pombe (fission yeast), 1320 nucleotides long. The record is from the annotation of a GenBank genome assembly. NCBI's taxonomy places the organism in Eukaryota, Fungi, Ascomycota, Schizosaccharomycetes, Schizosaccharomycetales, Schizosaccharomycetaceae.
UCGUACAUCUCACGGAAGCGCCGUGGAAAUAAGCUUUCAGAUACUUGCUCAAUCUUUCCACAUUCAAUUGAAAUCUUCAAAAAGUUGGGAUCUUUAGGAGUGUUCUUAUAAUGAAUAUCACGGGUGUAACGAAGGAAUAAAUCACAAACAUUCUUCAAGUUUACAGAAUGUAGAAUAAUCUGGACAGCCUGACCCUUCCUUAUCUUAACAUUAGUUUGAAAAACAUCCGGGUUUCUGAAAACUGCAGCUAAUGUGGCAAUUGCCAUUACUUGUGGAAUAGCACAGAAAUUAAAUAUUUCCUGAGUCUUCAAUUGAGAAAGAUAAACGAGAGCAUCAGUAGCAUGUGUUAAAGCAUUAGCAGUCAUAUCAGAUAAACAUUCAAGAGCUUUUUCAGAGUUGUCAGGAAGACAGAGAUCACCGAAACUGGAAGUAUACUUGGACCAAAUUUCACGAGGCCAGAAAUGACGAUUAUCAUCAAAAUCCUCACGAUAAUCACGAAUGAUGUUAACUUUUUGUAAAAAGAGUCCAAGAGAAUUGGAAAUAGCUUGACUAUGAGCUAAAUCCGGAUCUUCUAGCUUAGAUUGAGCAAACAAACGAGAUAGUCCAAUUCCCACCAAUCCGGCAACAUAAUGACAAUAUUUGUUAAAGUCUUCUAUAGUUUCUACAGAGAAUCCGUCAUUUUUUUCGGCAAGAGAGGCAUAAUAAGCCAUACCAUCACCCAUUUCCUUAGUAAUGUUCGAAAUAACAUUACGAUAACCCUCUGACAGGUUAAGAUAUUCUUUUAUAACCACGUCGAAUUCUACGAGAAGCUGACGAUCCUUUUCGUUAGGACCAGAUUCAUUAAACGUCCACCCUUCGACUUCAAUUGUUUUAUAAAAAUCUCUUAGGAUUGGAAGCUUUUUAUCCAAAGGCAACGUCAUGUCAUCCUCUACUGUAUCCAGUCCACGAAGGACAAGAUAAAAAAUCAUAACAGCCUCUCUAAUACCAUUUGGCAAUUCUUUAAUAACGACUGCAAAGGAUCUCGAGGUCAUAUCGAGUAAUUGGUAACAACGGCGGAUGUUUUGAGGCACAUUUUCGUCUUCUCCAUAAGAAGGAAGGUCAUUCCAAAGCUUGUACUGACAAAGGCACCGGAUUUCUUCAAUGCGGUUAGCUAAACUCAUUAUAUAAAACGCAGAUUAAAUGGUGUAGUUGGAAGGCUAAGUGAAGACGUGCUUGAGAUAUUGAUACCACUUCGUUGGAGUUUGUUACGGUCAGUUGAUCAGCAGCCCAAGUGUCAAGCGGUAUCGAACUUUCAGGUUUAUUUUAGUAGAGUACUCUUUG